UGAUAUCAGUCUUCCUGGAAGUGCCA
This 26-nucleotide non-coding RNA is filed under the name Mus musculus (house mouse). Lineage: Eukaryota; Metazoa; Chordata; Mammalia; Rodentia; Muridae. The record is from RNAcentral.